CCUACGGGUCGCACCAGUGGGGAAUAUUGGACAAUGGGCGAAAGCCUGAUCCAGCAAUGCCGCGUGUGUGAAGAAGGUCUUCGGAUUGUAAAGCACUUUCGACGGGGACGAUGAUGACGGUACCCGUAGAAGAAGCCCCGGCUAACUUCGUGCCAGCAGCCGCGGUAAUACGAAGGGGGCUAGCGUUGCUCGGAAUGACUGGGCGUAAAGGGCGCGUAGGCGGUUUAUGCAGUCAGAUGUGAAAUCCCCGGGCUUAACCUGGGAACUGCAUUUGAGACGCAUAGACUAGAGGUCGAGAGAGGGUUGUGGAAUUCCCAGUGUAGAGGUGAAAUUCGUAGAUAUUGGGAAGAACACCGGUGGCGAGGGCGGCAACCUGGGCCGACACUGACACUGAGAGACGAAAGCUAGGGGAGCGAAUGGGAUUAGAUACCCUUGUAGUC
Molecule: ribosomal RNA, 440 nt
Filed under: uncultured bacterium
Lineage: Bacteria
Description: bacterial SSU rRNA
Rfam family: Bacterial small subunit ribosomal RNA
Source: RNAcentral